GGAGGAGUCGGAUAGUGGCCCAUUCCACAUGCUUGGAAAGUAUGCGUGCGUAAGCACUCGCGAGUUCGAAUCUCGCCUCCUCCG
RNAcentral lists this transfer RNA (84 nucleotides) under Candidatus Levyibacteriota bacterium. Its description in RNAcentral is "tRNA-Ser". It matches the Rfam family "tRNA". Rfam says of the family: Transfer RNA (tRNA) molecules are approximately 80 nucleotides in length. Their secondary structure includes four short double-helical elements and three loops (D, anti-codon, and T loops). Lineage: Bacteria; Candidatus Levyibacteriota. The record is from RNAcentral.